UGGUGGAGUGAUUUGUCUGGUUAAUUCCGAUAACGAACGAGACCUUAACCUGCUAAAUAGUCACGUCAACCGCUAUUGGUUGGCGGCUUGACUUCUUAGAGGGACUGUUGACGUUUAGUCAACGGAAGUUUGAGGCAAUAACA
Molecule: ribosomal RNA, 143 nt
Filed under: uncultured eukaryote
Lineage: Eukaryota
Description: partial 18S ribosomal RNA
Rfam family: Eukaryotic small subunit ribosomal RNA
Source: RNAcentral